This 68-nucleotide transfer RNA is filed under the name Marmota monax (woodchuck). Its description in RNAcentral is "tRNA.Thr". It matches the Rfam family "tRNA", at positions 6 to 65 of the family's 71-position model. Rfam says of the family: Transfer RNA (tRNA) molecules are approximately 80 nucleotides in length. Their secondary structure includes four short double-helical elements and three loops (D, anti-codon, and T loops). The record is from RNAcentral. Lineage: Eukaryota; Metazoa; Chordata; Mammalia; Rodentia; Sciuridae.
GGAUGUAGCUCAGUUGGUAGAGUGUUUGCCUGGUGUGGACAAGGCCCUGGGUUCAAUCCCCAGCACCA